RNAcentral lists this ribosomal RNA (423 nucleotides) under Triticum aestivum (bread wheat). Its description in RNAcentral is "partial small subunit ribosomal RNA". The record is from RNAcentral. Lineage: Eukaryota; Viridiplantae; Streptophyta; Magnoliopsida; Poales; Poaceae.
CUGGGUCUGGCAGCGAUCGAGCGUUGCAGAAAGAGGCUGGCCUCUAGGCUCACCUGGCUACGUUCUGGCGAUGCCCCAACAAAAUUCUUCAUGGCCAAGAUUUGCUCGCGAAGGAGGAAGAAUUUCAUUCAUGCUCUGACCAUCAACGAGACGGUAACCACGGCCCACAGCGACAAAGAAACGGCCAUCCACAGCCAUUUCAACGCCAUCCUUGGGACUGCAAGCCAACGGACAUCUACGAUCAACUGGAGCCAGAUCAACAUGCCAACGAUCCAAGGAGGGGGGCUGGACAACCCCUUUACUGAGCAAGAGGUGUGGGCGGCAAUCCAGGCCACGCCAGCUGAAAAAUCGCCGGGGCCGGACGGCUUCAGUGGGCUGUUUUUCAGAUCGUGCUGGGAGAUUAUCAAAGAAGACGUGAUGUAG